RNAcentral lists this ribosomal RNA (253 nucleotides) under uncultured bacterium. RNAcentral's name for it is "partial 16S ribosomal RNA". It matches the Rfam family "Bacterial small subunit ribosomal RNA", at positions 524 to 776 of the family's 1533-position model. The record is from RNAcentral.
UACAGAGGUCUCAAGCGUUGUUCGGAUUCAUUGGGCGUAAAGGGUGCGUAGGCGGCGCGGUAAGUCGGGUGUGAAAUCUCGGAGCUUAACUCCGAAACUGCAUUCGAUACUUCCGUGCUUGAGGACUGGAGAGGAGACUGGAAUUUACGGUGUAGCGGUGAAAUGCGUAGAUAUCGUAAGGAAGACCAGUGGCGAAAGCGCGGUCCUGGACGCCUGCUGACGCUGAGACGCGAAAGCCAGGGGAGCGAACGGG